Molecule: small RNA, 643 nt
Filed under: Pongo abelii (Sumatran orangutan)
Lineage: Eukaryota; Metazoa; Chordata; Mammalia; Primates; Hominidae
Description: retained intron
Source: RNAcentral
CUGCAGUGAGUAGGGUUGUUACAGUUUACAGAUGACGAAACUGAGGCAAAAUGUCUUGUUAGGGUCACACAGGCUGUGAGUGAGCCAUGCCCCAGCUCUCCAGCCCCUUGGCCAGGACAAGGAGCCUGGAGUCUGGGUCUGGGGGCGGCCCCUGAGGGUGGGCUGAGUGGGCAGCUGCAGCCCUGCUCCCUCCUCCCUCCCACCAGCUGGCGGGCCAGCCGGCCGUGCACUUGAAGCGUGACUUCUUCCUUGCUAAUGCAUCUCGGGCGCGCUCAGAGCAGUUCAUCAACCUGCGAGAGGUCAGCACCCGCUUCCGCCUGCCACCCGGGGAGUAUGUGGUGGUGCCCUCCACCUUCGAGCCCAACAAGGAGGGCGACUUCGUGCUGCGCUUCUUCUCGGAGAAGAGUGCUGGGACCGCGGAGCUAGAUGACCAGAUCCAGGCCAAUCUCCCCGACGAGCAAGUGCUCUCAGAAGAGGAGAUUGAUGAGAACUUCAAGGCCCUCUUCAGGCAGCUGGCAGGGGAGGACAUGGAGAUCAGCGUGAAGGAGCUGCGGACAAUCCUCAAUAGGAUCAUCAGCAAACACAAAGACCUGCGGACCAAGGGCUUCAGCCUAGAGUCGUGCCGCAGCAUGGUGAACCUCAU